This 70-nucleotide transfer RNA is filed under the name Enteromius callipterus (clipper barb). Its description in RNAcentral is "tRNA-Tyr". It matches the Rfam family "tRNA". From Rfam's summary of the family: Transfer RNA (tRNA) molecules are approximately 80 nucleotides in length. Lineage: Eukaryota; Metazoa; Chordata; Actinopteri; Cypriniformes; Cyprinidae. The record is from RNAcentral.
GGUAGGAUAGCCGAGUGUUAGGCGGUGGGUUGUAGCCCCGAAGAUAAAGGUUCAAAUCCUUUUCCUAUUA